UACGGAGGGUGCAAACGUUGCUCGGAAUCAUUGGGCGUAAAGCGCACGUAGGCGGCCUGUUAAGUCGGGUGUGAAAGCCCUGGGCUCAACCCAGGAAGUGCACUCGAAACUGGCGGGCUUGAAUAUGGAAGAGGGUCGCGGAAUUCCCGGUGUAGAGGUGAAAUUCGUAGAGAUCGGGAAGAACACCAGUGGCGAAGGCGGCCGGCUGGGGGCGCCCUGACGCUGAGGCGCGAGAGCGUGGGGAGCAAACCGG
This 253-nucleotide ribosomal RNA is filed under the name uncultured bacterium. RNAcentral's name for it is "partial 16S ribosomal RNA". It matches the Rfam family "Bacterial small subunit ribosomal RNA", at positions 524 to 776 of the family's 1533-position model. The record is from RNAcentral.